This 403-nucleotide ribosomal RNA is filed under the name Salmonella enterica subsp. enterica serovar Kentucky. RNAcentral's name for it is "bacterial SSU rRNA". It matches the Rfam family "Bacterial small subunit ribosomal RNA", at positions 1 to 400 of the family's 1533-position model. Lineage: Bacteria; Pseudomonadati; Pseudomonadota; Gammaproteobacteria; Enterobacterales; Enterobacteriaceae. The record is from RNAcentral.
AAAUUGAAGAGUUUGAUCAUGGCUCAGAUUGAACGCUGGCGGCAGGCCUAACACAUGCAAGUCGAACGGUAACAGGAAGCAGCUUGCUGCUUUGCUGACGAGUGGCGGACGGGUGAGUAAUGUCUGGGAAACUGCCUGAUGGAGGGGGAUAACUACUGGAAACGGUGGCUAAUACCGCAUAACGUCGCAAGACCAAAGAGGGGGACCUUCGGGCCUCUUGCCAUCAGAUGUGCCCAGAUGGGAUUAGCUUGUUGGUGAGGUAACGGCUCACCAAGGCGACGAUCCCUAGCUGGUCUGAGAGGAUGACUAGCCACACUGGAACUGAGACACGGUCCAGACUCCUACGGGAGGCAGCAGUGGGGAAUAUUGCACAAUGGGCGCAAGCCUGAUGCAGCCAUGCCGC